GACGAACGCUGGCGGCGUGCUUAACACAUGCAAGUCGAACGGGAUUUAGUAAACAGAAGCCUCGGUGGAAGAUUACUAAUGAGAGUGGCGAACGGGUGAGUAACGCGUGAGCAACCUGCCUAUGACAGUGGGAUAGCCUCGGGAAACCGGGAUUAAUACCGCAUAAAAUCGUAGAAACACAUGUUUUAACGGUCAAAGAUUUAUCGGUCAUAGAUGGGCUCGCGUCUGAUUAGCUAGUUGGUGAGAUAACAGCCCACCAAGGCGACGAUCAGUAGCCGGUCUGAGAGGAUGAACGGCCACAUUGGAACUGAGACACGGUCCAAACUCCUACGGGAGGCAGCAGUGGGUAAUAUUGCACAAUGGGGGAAACCCUGAUGCAGCGACGCCGCGUGAACGAAGAAGGUAUUCGUAUCGUAAAGUUCUGUCCUAUGGGAAGAUAAUGACAGUACCAUAGAAGAAAGCUCCGGCUAAAUACGUG
RNAcentral lists this ribosomal RNA (478 nucleotides) under uncultured bacterium. RNAcentral describes it as "partial 16S ribosomal RNA". It matches the Rfam family "Bacterial small subunit ribosomal RNA", at positions 28 to 507 of the family's 1533-position model. The record is from RNAcentral.